CCCCGGGCGAAAGGGACCGAAAUCAAGUAGGGAAGUCCGCGAUGCUCUGUGGCGAGAAAAGGCGAAGGUAAGGUGCCCGUACCGCAAACCGACACAGGUAGAUGAGGAGAGAAUCCUAAGGCCAACGGGAGAAAGGUUGUUAAGGAACUCGGCAAAAUUGCCCCGUAACUUCGGGAGAAGGGGCGCCUCCGAAAGGAGGCCGCAGUGAAAAGGCCCAAGCGACUGUUUACCAAAAACACAGGUCUCUGCUAAAUCGAGAGAUGACGUAUAGGGGCUGACGCCUGCCCGGUGCUGGAAGGUUAAGAGGAGAGCUUAGCGCAAGCGAAGGCUUGAAUUUAAGCCCCAGUAAACGGCGGCCGUAACAAUAACGGUCCUAAGGUAGCGAAAUUCCUUGUCAGGUAAGUUCUGACCCGCACGAAUGGCGUAACGAUUUGGGCGCUGUCUCAACAGCCUACCCGGCGAAAUUGUAGUACCGGUGAAGAUGCCGGUUACCCGCAACUAGACGGAAAGACCCCAUGGAGCUUUACUGCAGCUUAAUACUGAGAUUCGGUAAUUCAUGUACAGGAUAGGUGGGAGACUUGGAAACAGGGGCGUCAGCUUCUGCGGAGUCACCCUUGGGAUACCACCCUUGGAUUGCUGGGUUUCUAACCUGCGGCCAUGAAUCUGGUCGGGGGACACUGUUAGGCGGGCAGUUUGACUGGGGCGGUCGCCUCCUAAAAAGUAGCGGAGGCGCUCAAAGCUUGGCUCAGCAUGGAUGGAAAUCAUGCAAUGAGUGUAAACGUAUAAGCCAAGUUGACUGCGAGACCGACGGGUCGAGCAGGGACGAAAGUCGGAGUUAGUGAUCCGGUGGUAUGUGAGUGGAAAUGCCAUCGCUCAACGGAUAAAAGCUACCCUGGGAUAACAGGCUGAUCUCCCCCAAGCGUCCACAGCGACGGGGAGGUUUGGCACCUCGAUGUCGGCUCGUCGCAUCCUCGGGCUGUAUUCGGUCCCAAGGGUUUGGCUGUUCGCCAAUUAAAGCGGCACGCGAGCUGGGUUCAGAACGUCGUGAGACAGUUCGGUCCCUAUCUGUUGCGGGCGUAAGAGAUUUGAAGGGAGCUGUCCUUAGUACGAGAGGACCGGGAUGGACUGACCUCUGGUGCACCAGUUGUUCUGCCAAGGGCAUAGCUGGGUAGCUACGUCGGGACGAGAUAAACGCUGAAGGCAUCUAAGCGUGAAACUCCCCCUAAGAUAAGAUCUCUCAUCCUGAAAAGGAGUAAGGCUCGUCGUAGACUAUGACGUUGAUAGGUCAGGGGUGGAAGCACAGUAAUGUGUGCAGCUGACUGAUACUAAUAAGCCGAGGGCUUGACCGA
This 1349-nucleotide ribosomal RNA is filed under the name metagenome. RNAcentral's name for it is "bacterial LSU rRNA". It matches the Rfam family "Bacterial large subunit ribosomal RNA", at positions 1556 to 2925 of the family's 2925-position model. The record is from RNAcentral.